This 898-nucleotide ribosomal RNA is filed under the name uncultured organism. RNAcentral's name for it is "bacterial SSU rRNA". It matches the Rfam family "Bacterial small subunit ribosomal RNA", at positions 375 to 1295 of the family's 1533-position model. The record is from RNAcentral.
GCGAAAGCUAAACGCAUCAACGCCGCGUGGGUGAUUAAGGCCUUCGGGUCGUAAAACCCUUUUCUGGGGGAAGAGUAACGACGGUACCCCAUGAAUAAGCCUCGGGUAACUAUCUGCCAGCAGCCCGCGGCUAAUACAUACGAGGCGACCGUUAUCCGGAUUCACUGGGCGUAAAGAGCCUUGAGGCGGCUUCGUAAUUUGGACGUGAGACCUCCCGGCUUAACUGCGGAGAGGCCGUUCAAUACUGCUGGGCUUGAGGACAGCGAGAUGGGGGUGGAAUUUCCGGUGUAGUGAUGAAAUGCGUAGAGAUCGGAAGGAACACCAAUGGCGAAGGCGGCCCCCUGGCCUGAUCCUGACGCUGAAGGCGAAAGCUAGGGUAACGAACGGGAUUAGAAACCCCGGUAGUCCUAGCCGUAAACGAUGGAUACUAGGUGUAGGAGGUUAAAAUGCCUUCAGUGCCGGAGCUAACGCGUUAAGUAUCCCGCCUGGGGAGUACGCUCGCAAGGCUAAAACUCAAAGGAAUUGACGGGGGCCAGCACAAGUAGCGGAGCGUGUGGUUUAAUUCGAUGCAACACGAAGAACCUUACCAGGGCUUGACAUGUAGGUAGUAGUGAAGCGAAAGCGGAACGAUCCUUCGGGAAGCCUACACAGGUGCUGCAUGGCUGUCGUCAGCUCGUACACGUGAGGUGUUAGGUUAAGUCCAUGUAACGAGCGCAACCCCGACCGUUAGUUACAAGUGUCUAACGGGAUUGCCCAGCUAUAUUGGGAGGAAGGUGGGGAUGAAAGUCUAGUCAGCAUGGCCUUUAUGUCUCUGGGCUACACACACGUUACAAUGGCCGGUACAAUGGGUUACCAAGCCGCGAGGCGGAGCCAAUCCUCUAAAGCCGGUCUCAGUUCG